GUGGGGAAUAUUGGACAAUGGGCGAAAGCCUGAUCCAGCCAUGCCGCGUGUGUGAAGAAGGUCUUCGGAUUGUAAAGCACUUUAAGUUGGGAGGAAGGGCAGUAAGUUAAUACCUUGCUGUUUUGACGUUACCGACAGAAUAAGCACAGGCUAACUUCGUGCCAGCAGCCGCGGUAAUACGAAGGGUGCAAGCGUUAAUCGGAAUUACUGGGCGUAAAGCGAGCGUAGGUGGUUUUGUAAGUUGGAGGUGAAAUCCCCGUACUCAACAUGGGAACUGCCUCCAAAACUGCAUGACUAGAGUACGGUAGAGGGUAGUGGAAUUGCCUGUGUAGCAGUGAAAUGCGUAGAUAUAGGAAGGAACACCAGUGGCGCAGGCGACUACCUGGACAGAUACUGACACUGAGGUGCGAAAGCGUGGGGAGCAAACAGGAUUAGAAACCCCGGUAGUCC
This 450-nucleotide ribosomal RNA is filed under the name uncultured bacterium. RNAcentral describes it as "partial 16S ribosomal RNA". It matches the Rfam family "Bacterial small subunit ribosomal RNA", at positions 354 to 796 of the family's 1533-position model. The record is from RNAcentral.